This 393-nucleotide ribosomal RNA is filed under the name uncultured bacterium. RNAcentral describes it as "partial 16S ribosomal RNA". It matches the Rfam family "Bacterial small subunit ribosomal RNA", at positions 523 to 918 of the family's 1533-position model. The record is from RNAcentral.
AUACGGAGGAUGCGAGCGUUAUCCGGAUUUAUUGGGUUUAAAGGGAGCGUAGGUGGGAUAUUAAGUCAGCUGUGAAAGUUUGGGGCUCAACCUUAAAAUUGCAGUUGAUACUGGUUUCCUUGAGUACGGUACAGGUGGGCGGAAUUCGUGGUGUAGCGGUGAAAUGCUUAGAUAUCACGAAGAACUCCGAUCGCGAAGGCAGCUCACCGGGCCGGAACUGACACUGAUGCUCGAAAGUGCGGGUAUCAAACAGGAUUAGAUACCCUGGUAGUCCGCACAGUAAACGAUGAAUACUCGCUGUUUGCGAUACACUGUAAGCGGCCAAGCGAAAGCGUUAAGUAUUCCACCUGGGGAGUACGCCGGCAUCGGUGAAACUCAAAUGAAUGGGCGGGG